AACCUAAACCUUUUUUUUUGGCGGGGGUGAAGCAUAAAGAACAGCUUUAUUGCUUUGCCAGGCUAAGGAGGCCACAGCAGGCUAAGGACCUCAAAACUGUGUCCUCCCUUGAGAGGGGAUAGCAAGGGGUUCUAUAGGUUUAGCUUAAUGGUGGGCGUGGGAGUGGGGGGGCUGUCUAGAAGCAUCAGGGUGCUUGCAUUCUUCUCCCUGGAUAGGAGAUAGGAUAGACCAUUUCAAAGUCAUCAAGGCUGGAGUCAGGUGGUCCAUGGAAUGUUUCUAGUGUCUUUGGGGUUAUGGCAUUUUGACCUUCUCUCUGGAGUGAAGAUUGCUCAUCCACAGGGCGGGGGGGGGGGGGCGGGGCCGGGGCAUCCUUAGGGAGUGUUUCAAGGGUAGAGAAAACACCAGGUUCACUACAACUCUGACUCGACAGUAGUCAUUAGUCAUAAGUUCAUAAGUUCAUGGGCCAAGGCAAGCCGUAACCUAAUGGAGACUAUUUCAAAGUAGCUUUUAGCUGUAACAAUGUCUCCGGCUCCAACACACCAGCACUCCAGGGCUUGAGCUUGGUUUCAGUUUCAGAGGAGGGAAUUGUGGCUCCAAGAAUUAACCCCUUUGUUCCUUUGGUUUCUGUGGGCCUGGUUCGGGGAGCCCAUCCACAUCACCUCCUUUUGAGAGGCCAUCUGACAACUGUUUCAACAAAGCGACGUCGUCUCAAAACAAGGAAACCAGUUCCAUGAAAUGGAGGGUCUCUCCCUCCCUCUCCCUCCCUCUCCCUCCCUCUCCUUCUCACUCUCCUCUACCCCCAGCUCAUGGCAACAUGGGAUUCAUUCCAAGGGGAGGGGCACCACUUGAGACGCAGCACACAGCCUGGCGCUGGACGCCAAACCCGGCCUGGCCGGCGUGACCCUCCCCCAACUCGGAGGGGGGAGGCACAGGCCGCAUUAGGCAAAAGAGCAGUGCUUGGCCCCCACCAUGGGGGGGCCAGCGCACACCUCGCACAAGGGCGGCUCUUGCCCACACACUGUGGCAAGUAGGCAGCUACUGCCUGCAGACUUCAGAGGAGUAGCUGAAGUCCAGGUACCCCAAGGCCCCCCUCUGAGAGCGCUAGAGAAGACUUUCUCACCGAGGGCGCGUCGUGCCCCACACACCAUCGCUCGCCCCUUCGGGGACCCACAGGAGUGGGAACACACUCCCAAAAAGUGGGAAGCCAGAAGGGGGGGCUGCUCGUGGGGCACACCACCACCACAGUGGGGACCCGAGGGGACUCACCGCUGGGAGAGGAAAACGACACCACCGCUCGGCCUCGGGCAUCUGACAGGCAACCCGGAGUACUCCAGGGGCACCACAGAGGACCAGGGGAGACCAGAGGUCAGGCCAGAGGCCGCACCCCUAUCUUCCCCCACAACACCCGCAGGUGGGGGAGGAGCAGCGAGGGGCCCGCGGACAGAAUGAGAGGUGCGGCCUAGCUCACCGUGAGAGGCUGUCCCUCAUCUGGCGUGGCUUAGGCCCAAGCCCAGGAGAGCGCCACAUCACCACAUUGAUGUAAACCUUUUUUUUUAAUCAUUUCAUAAUUAUGUUGGUUGACUUGUCUGUGAUUCUGAUCUUACAAGGAGAUGAAACUCUUUGUAGCAGUGGGUGAGC
RNAcentral lists this long non-coding RNA (1638 nucleotides) under Sus scrofa (pig). RNAcentral describes it as "lncRNA (ENSSSCG00035034150.1)". The record is from RNAcentral. Lineage: Eukaryota; Metazoa; Chordata; Mammalia; Artiodactyla; Suidae.